Molecule: ribosomal RNA, 824 nt
Filed under: human gut metagenome
Description: bacterial SSU rRNA
Rfam family: Bacterial small subunit ribosomal RNA
Source: RNAcentral
GGAAGAACACCAAUGGCGAAGGCAGGUCUCUGGGCCGUUACUGACGCUGAGGAGCGAAAGCGUGGGGAGCGAACAGGAUUAGAUACCCUGGUAGUCCACGCCGUAAACGGUGGAUGCUGGAUGUGGGGCCCGUUCCACGGGUUCCGUGUCGGAGCUAACGCGUUAAGCAUCCCGCCUGGGGAGUACGGCCGCAAGGCUAAAACUCAAAGAAAUUGACGGGGGCCCGCACAAGCGGCGGAGCAUGCGGAUUAAUUCGAUGCAACGCGAAGAACCUUACCUGGGCUUGACAUGUUCCCGACCGCGGCAGAGAUGUCGUUUCCCUUCGGGGCGGGUUCACAGGUGGUGCAUGGUCGUCGUCAGCUCGUGUCGUGAGAUGUUGGGUUAAGUCCCGCAACGAGCGCAACCCUCGCCCUGUGUUGCCAGCACGUCAUGGUGGGAACUCACGGGGGACCGCCGGGGUCAACUCGGAGGAAGGUGGGGAUGACGUCAGAUCAUCAUGCCCCUUACGUCCAGGGCUUCACGCAUGCUACAAUGGCCGGUACAACGGGAUGCGACACGGCGACGUGGAGCGGAUCCCUGAAAACCGGUCUCAGUUCGGAUUGGAGUCUGCAACCCGACUCCAUGAAGGCGGAGUCGCUAGUAAUCGCGGAUCAGCAACGCCGCGGUGAAUGCGUUCCCGGGCCUUGUACACACCGCCCGUCAAGUCAUGAAAGUGGGUAGCACCCGAAGCCGGUGGCCUAACCUUUUUGGAUGGAGCCGUCUAAGGUGAGACUCGUGAUUGGGACUAAGUCGUAACAAGGUAGCCGUACCGGAAGGUGCGGCUG